RNAcentral lists this ribosomal RNA (1514 nucleotides) under Alkalibacterium indicireducens. RNAcentral's name for it is "bacterial SSU rRNA". It matches the Rfam family "Bacterial small subunit ribosomal RNA". The record is from RNAcentral. Lineage: Bacteria; Bacillati; Bacillota; Bacilli; Lactobacillales; Carnobacteriaceae.
AAAAAAAUUGUUAGGGUUUUUGGUCAGUCUCAGGACCGACGCUGGCGGUAUGCCUAAUACAUGCAAGUCGAACGCUGAAGCACUCUGCUUGCAGAGUGUGGAUGAGUGGCGAACGGGUGAGUAACACGUGGGGAACCUGCCCAUAAGAGGGGGAUAACAUCCGGAAACGGGUGCUAAUACCGCAUAGGUGAUCAUAGCGCAUGCUUAGAUCAUUAAAGAUGGCUUCGGCUAUCGCUUAUGGAUGGCCCCGCGGCGUAUUAGCUAGUUGGUGAGGUAAUGGCUCACCAAGGCUGUGAUACGUAGCCGACCUGAGAGGGUGAUCGGCCUCACUGGAACUGAGACACGGUCCAGACUCCUACGGGAGGCAGCAGUAGGGAAUCUUCCACAAUGGGCGAAAGCCUGAUGGAGCAAUACCGCGUGAGUGAAGAAGGUCUUCGGAUCGUAAAGCUCUGUUGUUAGAGAAGAACAAGAGGUGUAGUAACUGGCACCUCCUUGACGGUAUCUAACCAGAAAGUCACGGCUAACUACGUGCCAGCAGCCGCGGUAAUACGUAGGUGACAAGCGUUGUCCGGAUUUAUUGGGCGUAAAGCGAGCGCAGGCGGUCUUUUAAGUCUGAUGUGAAAGCCCACGGCUCAACCGUGGAGGGUCAUUGGAAACUGGAAGACUUGAAUGCAGAAGAGGAAAGUGGAAUUCCAUGUGUAGCGGUGAAAUGCGUAGAUAUAUGGAGGAACACCAGUGGCGAAGGCGACUUUCUGGUCUGUAAUGACGCUGAGGCUCGAAAGCGUGGGGAGCGAACAGGAUUAAAUACCCUGGUAGUCCACGCCGUAAACGAUGAGUGCUAAGUGUUGGAGGGUUUCCGCCCUUCAGUGCUGGAGCUAACGCAUUAAGCACUCCGCCUGGGGAGUACGGCCGCAAGGCUGAAACUCAAAGGAAUUGACGGGGACCCGCACAAGCGGUGGAGCAUGUGGUUUAAUUCGAAGCAACGCGAAGAACCUUACCAGAUCUUGACAUCCCCUGACCACCCAAGAGAUUGGGCCUUCCCUUCGGGGAAGAGUGACAGGUGGUGCAUGGGUGCCCUCAGCUCGUGUCGUGAGAUGUUGGGUUAAGUCCCGUAACGAGCGCAACCCUUAUUGUUAUUUGCCAGCAUUCCGUUGGGCACUCUAGCGAGACUGCCGGUGAUAAACCGGAGGAAGGCGGGGAUGACGUCAAUCAUCAUGCCCCUUACGAUCUGGGCUACACACGUGCUACGAUGGAUGGUACAACCAGUCGCGAGACCGCCAGGUGUAGCUAAUCUCCCUAAGCCAUUCUCAGUUCUGAUUGUUAGCUGCAAUUCUCCUGCAUGAAGCCGGAAUCUCUAGUAAUCGCGGAUCAAAACGCCGCGGUGAAUACGUUCUCGGGUCUUGUACACACCGCCCGUCACACCACGAUGAGUUGGAACACUCAAAGUCGGUCGAGUAACCCCUUUAUGGAGCUACCUGCCGACGGUGGCUGGAUGAUUAGGGUGAAGUCUAACA